Molecule: ribosomal RNA, 461 nt
Filed under: uncultured bacterium
Lineage: Bacteria
Description: partial 16S ribosomal RNA
Rfam family: Bacterial small subunit ribosomal RNA
Source: RNAcentral
CCUACGGGUGGCAGCAGUGAGGAAUAUUGGUCAAUGGACGAGAGUCUGAACCAGCCAAGUAGCGUGAAGGAUGACUGCCCUAUGGGUUGUAAACUUCUUUUGUCAGGGAGCAAUUGGGUCAACGCGUGGGCUUAGCGAGAGUAACUGCAGAAAAAGCAUCGGCUAACUCCGUGCCAGCAGCCGCGGUAAUACGGAGGAUUCGAGCGUUAUCCGGAUUUAUUGGGGUUAAAGGGUGCGUCGGCGGAAUAUAAAGUCAGCGGUAAACAUUGGGGGGUCAACCCCGUCGUGCCGUUGAAACUGAUGGUCUUGAGUGGGCGAGAAUUAUGCGGAAUGCGUGGUGUAGCGGUGAAAUGCAUAGAUAUCACGCAGAACUCCGAGUGCGAAGGCAGCAUACCGGCGCCCAACUGACGCUGAAGCACGAAAGCGUGGGUAUCGAACAGGAUUAGAUACCCCGAGUAGUC